Molecule: long non-coding RNA, 1826 nt
Filed under: Anolis carolinensis (green anole)
Lineage: Eukaryota; Metazoa; Chordata; Lepidosauria; Squamata; Anolidae
Description: lncRNA (ENSACAG00000036974.1)
Source: RNAcentral
AUGCUGUACUACAACACCAUCAACCACAACUGUGAUGCUGAUAGUGACCCAGCAGACUUUCCAUCCAAGGCAAUUAUUCCAUUUAUGGAAUAUCCACAGAUUAGAUCAGAGACAGGGAACAAGACCUUCAACAUCUCGCUCAGCCAUUGGCGCAUCUUCUUCUAAGGUUCUAGCAGAAAUCCGGAAAGGCUCUUAGAUGUCCAUCCUUUGUUACAUCGAGGAAGAACGUUGUAUGAAACGAUAUUUAAGAUAUACAUUUUAAUGUGUUGUCGAAGGCUUUCAUGGCCAGAAUCACUGGGUUGCUUUGAGUUUUUUGGGCUGCAUGGCCAUGUUCCAGAAGCAUUCUCUCCUGAUGUUUCACCUGCAUCUAUGGCAGGCAUCCUCAGAGGAUGUGAGAUCUGUUGGACACUAGUUUAGAAAAAACAGACAAGAGUUUUUUCUCCUACCCUGGACUUUCUACAGAUAUAUAAACCCCACUAGCCUAGUUUCCAACAGACCUUACAACUCUGAGAAGCCUGCCAUAGAUGUGGCCAAAACGUCAGGAGAAAAUGCUUCUAGAACAUGGCCAUACAUUUUAAUUAUUUCACUUCAGUAUAAAUUGUCUAUAGCUCCAUAAGUGCUGAAUCAGAGUGACCUGAAAAUUAUGGAUAAUUUUCUGGAAAGGUGAUAUAGCUGUAGAUUCUAUAUAUUACAGUUAUGCUUUUGUAUUGGACAACGUGUCUAUUUUAAGAAGAAAGUGAACAUGUUUUGCUAUUUGAUCCACUCUUAAUAUGCUUUUGGUAUGUAAAAGGAAACAAUAGAGCCAGAAGGUGUAGAAUGAAUUGUUAUUAAUGUUGUGGGAAUGUACAUUUCUAAAAACAGGAUAAAUGUAUUCCUCUCAAUUGAAAACAUGUAUAUAUGGGAUACAUGUGACAACUGGUAACAUUACCACAUUUUAUUACAACCCCAGAAGGUAGGCAGCAAUAAUAACUGUUUUAUAGUAAAGCAUUUCUACAUUUUUGGAAAGAAAAAAAUUAAGAUGAGAUCCAUCCAUAUCUUUUUGCAUAAAACACAACCUGUUUAGAAAUAGUAUAGUUGGUUUGCUUGUGCCAUAUUAAGACUAAUUUUAAAAUGCCUUGGAAAAAAGAAUCAAGUGUAAUGAAUUGUAACAAAAUGGCAUUGUGUAUUUUAACUGACUAAAAGGUAGUGAAAAUAAAUACCAAUCUAUACAAACAGGCAGCUUCCAACAAUGGAGACACACCUAUCAUUGUUAAAGGCAGGAGUUGUGACUUCGCUAAGUUAUAGUUAAUGUUGGUGGGCUACAUGCUUGUUGGAAAAUGGUGAAUAUCCUUAAUUUGUAUUAAAUUAGGAAACUUGAUCAUUCGGUGUAUGCUGACAAUAUGUACAAUAAAUCUCUGAUGAACUUCAUCAUUUUGUAAUCUCUUGUCACCAACACAAAACAUUUGGAAAGCUCUGCUUUAAAUUGAGAAAACUACUUUUGAAUCUCACAGUAUUAAUGGGAAUUAGAGAAAGUAAGCCUACACUAAAAUAAUAGAAUCAUAGAGUUGGAAGAGACCUCGUGGGCCAUCCAGUCUAUCCCCCUGCCAAGAAGCAGGAAAAUCGCAUUCAAAGCACCCCCGACAGAGCUUGUGUUUCCUGACCACAAAACUCAAAGUGGAUCAGAAGUCACUUCUGGACGUCUUGGAUGCCGGUCCUCAAAGAGGUGUAAACUCGGAUGAAUCAGUUUAGCCUCUUGUUAAGAAAGGUUCCUAUGCUUGGGAUUUCAUCCAGCCCCGGGAGAGCACGUAUGAGCUCCCUGUAUCAGCUUCAGCUCCAUGUGGGGACGU